RNAcentral lists this ribosomal RNA (274 nucleotides) under uncultured bacterium. RNAcentral describes it as "partial 16S ribosomal RNA". It matches the Rfam family "Bacterial small subunit ribosomal RNA", at positions 523 to 796 of the family's 1533-position model. The record is from RNAcentral.
AUACGGAGUGUGCAAGCGUUAUCCGGAAUCAUUGGGUUUAAAGGGUCCGUAGGCGGAUUAUUAAGCCAGAGGUGAAAUCCCACAGCUUAACUGUGGAACUGCCUUUGAUACUGGUAGUCUUGAGUUAUAUGGAAGUAGAUAGAAUGUGUAGUGUAGCGGUGAAAUGCAUAGAUAUUACACAGAAUACCGAUUGCGAAGGCAGUCUACUACGUAUGUACUGACGCUAAUGGACGAAAGCGUGGGGAGCGAACAGGAUUAGAAACCCGGGUAGUCC